This 985-nucleotide ribosomal RNA is filed under the name metagenome. RNAcentral describes it as "bacterial LSU rRNA". It matches the Rfam family "Bacterial large subunit ribosomal RNA", at positions 1945 to 2925 of the family's 2925-position model. The record is from RNAcentral.
ACGGUCCUAAGGUAGCGAAAUUCCUUGUCGGGUAAGUUCCGACCUGCACGAAUGGCAUAAUGAUGGCCACACUGUCUCCUCCCGAGACUCAGUGAAGUUGAAGUGUUUGUGAUGAUGCAAUCUCCCCGCGGCUAGACGGAAAGACCCCAUGAACCUUUACUGUAGCUUUACAUUGGACUGUGAACCGAUUUGUGUAGGAUAGGUGGGAGGCAGUGAAACUCAGACGCCAGUUUGAGCGGAGCCAUCCUUGAAAUACCACCCUGAUUUGUUUGCGGUUCUAACCUCGGCCCAUGAUCUGGGCUAGGGACCGUGUAUGGUAGGCAGUUUGACUGGGGCGGUCUCCUCCUAAAGGGUAACGGAGGAGUGCGAAGGUACGCUAGGUACGGUCGGAAAUCGUGCUGAUAGUGCAAUGGCAUAAGCGUGCUUGACUGCGAGACCAACAAGUCGAGCAGAUGCGAAAGCAGGUCAUAGUGAUCCGGUGGCUCUGUAUGGAAGGGCCAUCGCUCAACGGAUAAAAGGUACUCUGGGGAUAACAGGCUGAUACCGCCCAAGAGUUCAUAUCGACGGCGGUGUUUGGCACCUCGAUGUCGGCUCAUCUCAUCCUGGGGCUGUAGUCGGUCCCAAGGGUAUGGCUGUUCGCCAUUUAAAGAGGUACGUGAGCUGGGUUUAAAACGUCGUGAGACAGUUUGGUCCCUAUCUGCCGUGGGCGCUGGAAGAUUGACGGGGGCUGCUCCUAGUACGAGAGGACCGGAGUGGACGGACCGCUGGUGUACCGGUUGUGAUGCCAAUCGCAUUGCCGGGUAGCUAUGUCCGGAAGGGAUAACCGCUGAAAGCAUCUAAGCGGGAAACCUGCCUGAAGAUAAGUCUUCCCGGAGGCUAGACCUCCUUGAAGAGUCGUUCGAGACCAGGACGUUGAUAGGUCAGGUGUGGAAGCGUUGUGAGACGUUAAGCUAACUGAUACUAAUUGCUCGUAAGGCUUGAUCCU